This 34-nucleotide transfer RNA is filed under the name Grammosciadium platycarpum. RNAcentral describes it as "partial tRNA-Leu". Lineage: Eukaryota; Viridiplantae; Streptophyta; Magnoliopsida; Apiales; Apiaceae. The record is from RNAcentral.
GAAAAUCCGUUGACUUUAAAAAUCGUGAGGGUUC